GUAGGUGGCAAGCGUUGUCCGGAAUUAUUGGGCGUAAAGCGCGCGCAGGCGGUUCUUUAAGUCUGAUGUGAAACGCCCGACGGCUCAACCGUGGAGGGUCAUUGGAAACUGGAGAACUUGAGUACAGAAGAGGAAAGCGGAAUUCCACGUGUAGCGGUGAAAUGCGUAGAGAUGUGGAGGAACACCAGUGGCGAAGGCGGCUUUCUGGUCUGUAACUGACGCUGAGGCGCGAAAGCGUGGGGAGCAAACAGGGAUUAGAUACCCUGGUAGUCCACGCCGUAAACGAUGAGUGCUAAGUGUUAGGGGGUUUUCCGGCCCCCUUAGUGCUGCAGCUAACGCAUUAAGCACUCCGCCUGGGGAGUACGGCCGCAAGGCUG
RNAcentral lists this ribosomal RNA (377 nucleotides) under uncultured organism. RNAcentral describes it as "partial 16S ribosomal RNA". It matches the Rfam family "Bacterial small subunit ribosomal RNA", at positions 527 to 896 of the family's 1533-position model. The record is from RNAcentral.